AAUUUACCCCAAAAUUAAGAAACUCGAAUAGAUCUGCAAAGUCGUCUUCUUUAAAAUGGAAAAAUACAACCCCCAGACAAAUAUAGGACUUCGGCAUGAAAAUUGAAAAGUCACCCUAGGCCUAACUCUUCGACAUUUACAAUUGUAUAUUUAUAGUAAAAUACAAUUGCAUUUAUCAUUGUUUACUUCACCCUGCUGACUUGUUAUAUCGUCUGCAACCCCAAAUCAAAGCUUCAGUGAUUGUUUGCAUCUAUUGGGAAUGGCGGAUGAAAGAAUUCAUCCGUCGAGUUAUGUGAAAUUGACAAAAGAACAAACGCCUCUCGAGGAGAUUCAACCCGGCGAGCUCAAUCAACCUAUUGAUGUCCCUCAAGUUAAAUGGAUUGUUGUGCGCUUGGACCAUGUUAUCGUCUUGUGUUCAAAUACUGGUCUUUCUAGUGUCUGAUGCUCAUCAUUGUCAACAAAUAGACUUGGGAAUGGAAUGGAAUGAAGCUCCAUGAUGUGGGAAUGAACAGACUUUAUAGCAGAAUACUUUGGUGAAAGCACUCAGAAGAAAGGAGUUUUUUCAAUCUUGCUCUGUUGCUAAAUGCUAAUUCUUUGAAUUGUCAACAACAUAGCAUCCCACAACGCUUAGAUUUUGUACUUGAUAGUUUAAUCUGUCUUAUUGCACAAACCAGUGGAACUGUGAAGGAAAGACCAAAUCUUGUAUCUACAACAAACAAGUAACAAGCCCUGAGUAUACUUUGUCUCUCUGUCUGCACACAUGUAGUGGCCGUGGAGGGAAAUUAUUGGCCU
Long non-coding RNA from Olea europaea var. sylvestris, 792 nucleotides. RefSeq lists it as uncharacterized. NCBI's taxonomy places the organism in Eukaryota, Viridiplantae, Streptophyta, Magnoliopsida, Lamiales, Oleaceae. The transcript has 4 exons. The record is from RefSeq and is a predicted model, not a curated record.